This 354-nucleotide unclassified non-coding RNA is filed under the name soil metagenome. RNAcentral's name for it is "partial contains 5.8S ribosomal RNA, internal transcribed spacer 2, and large subunit ribosomal RNA". The stretch from base 1 to 119 matches the Rfam family "5.8S ribosomal RNA", at positions 35 to 154 of the family's 154-position model. The record is from RNAcentral.
GAUGAAGAACGCAGCGGAAUGCGAUAAGUAAUGCGAAUUGCAGAAUCCGUGAGUCAUCGAAUCUUUGAACGCACAUUGCGCCCUUUGGUAUUCCGAAGGGCAUGCCUGUUCGAGCGUCAUUAUCACCACUCAAGCCCGGCUUGCUGUUGGUGGCAGCGCAGCCGGUCAACCGGCUACGCUCCACCCAAAGAUAAUGACGGCGUCUGCGAGGACUCCUGUACAUUGAGCUUUCGGGCACGUACAUGGCUAGAAGUCCAGGCGCCGGUCGACGUCCUCCGGGACACUUUUUACCAAGGUUGACCUCGGAUCAGGUAGGGAUACCCGCUGAACUUAAGCAUAUCAAUAAGCGGAGGA